AACCUGUCCCAGUUUGAAAGUAUCAUCACUAUCAAGGUGUACCCCAAUGUUUUUGGGGGAAACCUUAAAAUGUAAUAUGGCUCCUGAUUUGGUACACAUUCCUCUCAAAGGACAAAACAAUAAUAAUAGUGAGGCACUGGUAUUGUGUGAGAAAAGGUGUCUCCAUCUUGUAAAUUAUUAGUGCCAAACAUGGCACCUUAACUUUGUCGGCACAUCUGUUUGCAGUUGUAUCAUAGGUUAUGCUGUCAUGAAUAUGGAUUUCAGAUUUUCUGUUGUUAUGUCAGAGUAUUGAUUCAAGAAAAUGAAUUAUGUAGCAGGCCUGCUUUCAAUUCUUUCAUUUUGCCAAACAUGGCACCUUAACUUUGUCGACACAUCUGU
This 378-nucleotide long non-coding RNA is filed under the name Nicotiana benthamiana. RNAcentral's name for it is "long non-coding RNA (NBEN_LNC036409)". The record is from RNAcentral. Lineage: Eukaryota; Viridiplantae; Streptophyta; Magnoliopsida; Solanales; Solanaceae.